AGAGUUUGAUCCUGGCUCAGAACGAACGCUGGCGGCAUGCCUAACACAUGCAAGUCGAACGAACCCUUCGGGGGUUAGUGGCGCACGGGUGCGUAACACGUGGGAAUCUGCCCUUUGCUUCGGAAUAACAGUUAGAAAUGACUGCUAAUACCGGAUGAUGUCGUAAGACCAAAGAUUUAUCGGCAAAGGAUGAGCCCGCGUAGGAUUAGGUAGUUGGUGGGGUAAAGGCCUACCAAGCCGACGAUCCUUAGCUGGUCUGAGAGGAUGAUCAGCCACACUGGGACUGAGACACGGCCCAGACUCCUACGGGAGGCAGCAGUGGGGAAUAUUGGACAAUGGGCGAAAGCCUGAUCCAGCAAUGCCGCGUGAGUGAUGAAGGCCUUCGGGUUGUAAAGCUCUUUUACCAGGGAUGAUAAUGACAGUACCUGGAGAAUAAGCUCCGGCUAACUCCGUG
This 454-nucleotide ribosomal RNA is filed under the name uncultured bacterium. Its description in RNAcentral is "bacterial SSU rRNA". It matches the Rfam family "Bacterial small subunit ribosomal RNA", at positions 8 to 507 of the family's 1533-position model. The record is from RNAcentral.